RNAcentral lists this ribosomal RNA (424 nucleotides) under Fusobacteriota bacterium. RNAcentral describes it as "Fusobacteria bacterium partial 16S ribosomal RNA". It matches the Rfam family "Bacterial small subunit ribosomal RNA", at positions 355 to 776 of the family's 1533-position model. The record is from RNAcentral. Lineage: Bacteria; Fusobacteriati; Fusobacteriota.
UGAGGAAUAUUGGUCAAUGGGCGGGAGCCUGAACCAGCCAAGUCGCGUGAAGGAAGACAGUCCUAAGGAUUGUAAACUUCUUUUAUACGGGAAUAACGGGCGAUACGAGUAUUGCAUUGAAUGUACCGUAAGAAUAAGCAUCGGCUAACUCCGUGCCAGCAGCCGCGGUAAUACGGAGGAUGCGAGCGUUAUCCGGAUUUAUUGGGUUUAAAGGGUGCGUAGGUUGUUCGGUAAGUCAGCGGUGAAACCUGAGCGCUCAACGUUCAGCCUGCCGUUGAAACUGCCGGGCUUGAGUUCAGUGGCGGCAGGCGGAAUUCGUGGUGUAGCGGUGAAAUGCAUAGAUAUCACGAGGAACUCCGAUUGCGAAGGCAGCUUGCCAUACUGCGACUGACACUGAAGCACGAAGGCGUGGGUAUCAAACAGG